This 302-nucleotide unclassified non-coding RNA is filed under the name Hevea brasiliensis (rubber tree). Lineage: Eukaryota; Viridiplantae; Streptophyta; Magnoliopsida; Malpighiales; Euphorbiaceae. The record is from RNAcentral.
GCCCUACCCGAGGAUCCACUUCAUGCUUUCCUCCUACGCCCCGGUGAUCUCGGCCGAGAAGGCCUACCACGAGCAGCUCUCCGUGGCGGAGAUCACCAACAGCGCCUUCGAGCCGUCCUCCAUGAUGGCCAAGUGCGACCCGCGCCACGGCAAGUACAUGGCGUGCUGCCUGAUGUACCGCGGCGACGUGGUCCCCAAGGACGUGAACGCCGCGGUGGCCACCAUCAAGACGAAGCGCACCAUCCAGUUCGUGGACUGGUGCCCCACGGGGUUCAAGUGCGGCAUCAACUACCAGCCGCCCA